Molecule: ribosomal RNA, 519 nt
Filed under: Bacillus tropicus
Lineage: Bacteria; Bacillati; Bacillota; Bacilli; Caryophanales; Bacillaceae
Description: partial 23S ribosomal RNA
Rfam family: Bacterial large subunit ribosomal RNA
Source: RNAcentral
CGGGCUUAGUGAUCCGGUGGUUCCGCAUGGAAGGGCCAUCGCUCAACGGAUAAAAGCUACCCCGGGGAUAACAGGCUUAUCUCCCCCAAGAGUCCACAUCGACGGGGAGGUUUGGCACCUCGAUGUCGGCUCAUCGCAUCCUGGGGCUGUAGUCGGUCCCAAGGGUUGGGCUGUUCGCCCAUUAAAGCGGUACGCGAGCUGGGUUCAGAACGUCGUGAGACAGUUCGGUCCCUAUCCGUCGUGGGCGUAGGAAAUUUGAGAGGAGCUGUCCUUAGUACGAGAGGACCGGGAUGGACGCACCGCUGGUGUACCAGUUGUUCUGCCAAGGGCAUAGCUGGGUAGCUAUGUGCGGAAGGGAUAAGUGCUGAAAGCAUCUAAGCAUGAAGCCCCCCUCAAGAUGAGAUUUCCCAUAGCGUAAGCUAGUAAGAUCCCUGAAAGAUGAUCAGGUUGAUAGGUUCGAGGUGGAAGCAUGGUGACAUGUGGAGCUGACGAAUACUAAUAGAUCGAGGACUUAACCAU